This 399-nucleotide ribosomal RNA is filed under the name uncultured bacterium. RNAcentral's name for it is "bacterial SSU rRNA". It matches the Rfam family "Bacterial small subunit ribosomal RNA", at positions 358 to 774 of the family's 1533-position model. The record is from RNAcentral.
GGAAUAUUGGACAAUGGGGGCAACCCUGAUCCAGCCAUGCCGCGUGAGUGAAGAAGGCCUUCGGGUUGUAAAGCUCUUUUAUCAGGGAAGAUGAUGACGGUACCUGAAGAAUAAGCACCGGCUAACUUCGUGCCAGCAGCCGCGGUAAUACGAAGGGUGCAAGCGUUGUUCGGAAUUACUGGGCGUAAAGGGCAUGUAGGCAGUUAUAUCAGUUAGGGGUGAAAUCCCAGGGCUUAACCUUGGAAUUGCCUUUAAGACGGUAUAGCUAGAGAGCUUGAAGGGAUAAUGGAAUACCCAGUGUAGAGGUGUAAUUCGUAGAUAUUGGGUAGAACACCAGUGGCGAAAGCGGUUAUCUGGCAAGCAACUGACGCUGAGAUGCGAAAGCGUGGGGAUCAAACA